AUGAGUUGUAGCAAAAUUCGGCAUUUUGAAACUACUGUUUUUAUUUGCUGCUAAUCUUUCAGAGUGCCUAACAGUAAGAUCUUCACAGAAUAAAUCUCGCAAGUAGCAAGGUUUUUCUAUGUCUAAAAGUUUAUAAAAAUAGCAAGCAACAUAAUAAAUACGGCGACUUUUAAUAGAUAGCCAACCAAGUUCACGUCUGUAAGGCGUGAUGUGUUCAUCACGCUUCAAGUGAAAGAUAAAGCGAAUAGCUGAGUUUAACGCACGUUGAAGUUUACGAUCAUUUUCAUAUAAUGAAUUUGUUAAAACAAUAAUACAAUAGUCAAUUAAGGACUAUAUAAUGUAGAGUUUAUUUUGCUUACUGUUUUUGCAACAUGAAAAUUCCAAGAUAGAUCACUCGAUAAAUGGAGUCUAAGACACUUAGCCGAGUCCGUAUACGGGAGUGUCACACCAUCAAUGAUGAUAGGGGGUGAUCCUUCACGUAUAAGAGAUUUCACUCUAUUAUUUGAUCCUAACAGCAUGGCUUUUGUUUUAAGAAGAUUUACUUCUAAGCCAUUCUCUCUGGCCCAAUCAGCAACAGCUUGGGCAUCAACAUUUAUCAGCCUUAUUGCUUCAUGGAGCUGAUACGAAUAGAAAUGUAAGUAGAUGUCCUAGGACCGAGCCUUGAGGAACACCAGACGUGGUUUCAACAAAACCCACCGGAAUCCCUUGUUCAUCUACCACUGACUGACUCCUGUUAGUCAGAUAUGAAAAAAACCAGGUGAUUGUAUCAAUAGAGAAGCCUAAUUCAACCAAGGUUCUCAAAAUAACUUUAUGG
Molecule: long non-coding RNA, 814 nt
Organism: Cotesia glomerata
Lineage: Eukaryota; Metazoa; Arthropoda; Insecta; Hymenoptera; Braconidae
Exons: 3
Source: RefSeq, a predicted model, not a curated record